GGAACAGGAAGACCAGAAACACCAGAAGAAGGAGGAGAAGAAAUAAUGAGUGAUUGUGUCUACAUUUACGGGAAGAGUUUGAUGUGGUAGAAAUGUUGGUAAAUAUAAUACUCAAACAUGAAAUUCUAAUAAAAUAAUUGAAAGCCUUCAAAGUCAUACAAACACCACAUACAGUAUAUAUAGUAAAUUAAAAUGCUAAUGUACCUUCUUAAAUCAGUUGCUGUUUUUGAAAAUUGUUUCAAAAAUUUGCUUCUCCACUUAGAAGUACGGCUGUUAGAGUCAUACAGUCUAUGUUAAGACUGUUUAGAUUUGUGGUUUCAUAAGGCUUAACAUGUUGAUCUGUUUUUUUAUUUUUAUUUUCUAUUUUAUUUUUGCAUAGCUUCUUUGGAGAAAUUUGUACUCAAAGAAUUACUCAUGUAGAUAUUCCUCUCUCCCUGCCAAUAAAAUUUCAUCCACCUUUGGUUGUGUACAAGGAAGCUAUUGUGUGUCCAAAGAGUCCUCAGGAAGAGAGGCAUGGAUACUCUUCAGCAAAGAUGUAACACAACAGUGGACUCAGUUCUCCAAUAAAAAGACAGACUAAGCUUCCUCUGAAACCCUGGCAUCCUGCUGUGACCAACUUCCAGGGAUCCUAGAAUCCUAAGGCCUAGGUGUGGUACAGCAUCUGGAACAGGCAAGGAGACCGAUCCCAGAGAGACUGCUGGAAUAAAUUUGGAGUUGAGUGAGAAAAAAAGAUGGUAGGCUUACACCUUUGGCAUUUACAUCUAACAUAUUUGCCAGUCGGAGUCAAGCAGAGCUAAAGAAAUUUAUUCACACAGAAAAUAUUCCAGUAAUGUUCCUGGUUGAUGUUUAGCUCUCAUCUUGUACGAAGCUCUUGCUGUAGAUUGACAAGAAGCAGCUUUUACUAGAAGGAAGCUUGCUCGGGAAACCUUCAGAUGAAAAUGAAAAGAAAACGUCACCGAGGCCAGAGGCGGAGGCAGCGCCUGCGACAACGACAACAACAGCAAGAGGAACAACAUGAGCAGCAGCAGAACCAGCAGCAGCAACAGCAGAAUCAGCAGCGGCAACAGCAACAGCAACAGCAACAGCAGC
Non-coding RNA from Mus caroli (Ryukyu mouse), 1089 nucleotides. The record is from RefSeq and is a predicted model, not a curated record. NCBI's taxonomy places the organism in Eukaryota, Metazoa, Chordata, Mammalia, Rodentia, Muridae.